RNAcentral lists this long non-coding RNA (855 nucleotides) under Homo sapiens (human). RNAcentral describes it as "non-protein coding DIO3OS:30". The stretch from base 1 to 74 matches the Rfam family "mir-1247 microRNA precursor family". Lineage: Eukaryota; Metazoa; Chordata; Mammalia; Primates; Hominidae. The record is from RNAcentral.
GCUGGGCGCACCCGUCCCGUUCGUCCCCGGACGUUGCUCUCUACCCCGGGAACGUCGAGACUGGAGCGCCCGAACUGAGCCACCUUCGCGGACCCCGAGAGCGGCGGCGCGACUCACCGCGGAGGCGCCCGGACGCGUCAAGCCCAGCCCAAUAGGAAGCACCUGAUCCACACUCUUUCUAGCCCCAGGGAUGCUCAGGAAAGCAGCCUUUCUUUAGGGCUGUCAUCUGUUCUGGGGAUCUGUUGCUGUUUCUUGGGCCCACAGAAUACACUCCACACCUCGGGACUCCAUAAUAUUGGACAAGGCUGGAAGGCCCAUUUGGCUCCUGCAGCCUCUUAUGCAGGAGGACCUCCUGAGGCUUCGGGCAGGAGCUGGUGCACACCUGGAGGAGAGUGCUGGUGAAUGGCAGGUGUGUGCCUCAGUGUCCUUGCUGCCAGGGUGUCAGCCCUGCUUCACCACUGGCCGUUUGUCUCUGUCCCCUCCACUGGCCUCUUGAAGCACAGAGACCCUCCGGGUACUUUCCUUCCUCUGGGCUUCCACUCAUGCUAUUCCCUGCUCCCUUUUUCUACCUGGAGACCCCCAUUCCUCCUCCUCCUCUGCUGCCCUCACCUCCACCUGGGCCCUCCCAGCUCCCGGGAGAUGGCUGAACCCCACUCCCCACCCGCUAGUCAUCCUCUUCAGCGGUCCUCCCAGAGCUGUCCUCAGCAUGGCAGCCUCCACAGCCCCUGGGUGUCACCCCCGGUUUCGUGUCUGCCUCGGACUCCAGACCUGCCCCUCCCAGGCUGGCCCAGAUGGAUCCUCUACAGUGACUAACCCAAACCAGCACCAGGCAGGGACCCAAUAAACCUUUGUGAA